AUUUGACAUUUUAUUUGUAGCUGCUCUUAAAGGAAAUGUUCGUAAGGCUUCCAUUAGUGAAAAGGUAGAGAAGUCCCGAGUAUCUCAGGCCUACAUAGAGAGUAUAAAGGAGAACGCAGAGCAGCGUAAAAAGGACCUGGAGAAGAUGCUGGAUGAACAUGCUGAGUUGGUCCAGGAGAUAAGCCGUGUGGCCAGCUCGGAUAACAUAAGUGCAGAGGACCGAGACCAGUGACCAUUAUGACCAGUGUCCACUCUGGUGGACUCUUGCCUGGCCACACCCCUUCAUUGAUCUUCACAGCUGUAGACAGUAGUCAGUGUAGGGACUCUCCCCAAUCCUAGCUGUAACAGUGUGUAACAGUGGCUGACCACCUUAUCAACUGGUCCUGAUUAGGCCUGGUAAUAGAUAGCCAGUGGUCACUGCCUUAGGCCUGUGGCCACCUUCUGGUGAACUAAUGACAUGCUAGAUCAGACGGUGCUACCAGUCUGGAUUCCUCACACUCAGCACCAUCAACAAGUUAUCACUCAUUUACAACUGACAGACCUGUCCUUGUGGAAGGACUCUCAUCCUUUCUGUGGCCAGAUCCAUCAUCUGUAAUACAGCAAAUUAUCAACAUUACUGUGUCAUACAGUUAAAUAUAUUGUAAUAUGUCUCUAUGUAUCAUGACAAGUAAUAUAUUUCCCUCUUUUUGUUUCUAUGACGACUCAUCACACUUGUGAGUGUAAAGUGCGAUGUUUAAGGGUUGUUAUGGUCACCAUAUUUAGCCUAACAUUAGAGGGUGUGAUAGUUUCCUCAUAUGCCAUGGUGUUAAAGCUAACAUUUCCGUGGCAGUAGCUCUAGUAUUGAUCUGUGAUUUAGGAUGUACAUUUUGUAAGACAGAGUUGUCUCCCUUUGUAACUAUUUUUGUUUUGCACAUUGCUACAGACUUUUUAUUACAAUGUGUGAAUACUAGUUCAGUCUGUGUUUUAUAGCUUAGGGUUAACCUUUGAUAUGGAAUCAUUGCAUAAAUUAGUUAAAAUCAUUCUGUAAAUAAAGUUGUUUUUUUGUUUGUAUCUGCAAGCACAAAUGACAAACAUGUUUUGUGUAUAUACUUUACCUAUUAAAUGUAUAUGUGCUCUUACUUUUGUCAUCAGACUGUAGAAGAAUGACUAUUAGACAUCUGAGUAUAGGAAA
Long non-coding RNA from Mizuhopecten yessoensis (Yesso scallop), 1171 nucleotides. RefSeq lists it as uncharacterized. The record is from RefSeq and is a predicted model, not a curated record. The transcript is spliced from 2 exons. Lineage: Eukaryota; Metazoa; Mollusca; Bivalvia; Pectinida; Pectinidae.